RNAcentral lists this long non-coding RNA (843 nucleotides) under Fukomys damarensis (Damara mole-rat). RNAcentral's name for it is "lncRNA (ENSFDAG00000024825.1)". Lineage: Eukaryota; Metazoa; Chordata; Mammalia; Rodentia; Bathyergidae. The record is from RNAcentral.
AGCAGUCACAGUUCACCUCCUACCUCUGGAGAAGGGUCCUCCCUCUUUCUUUGAGAUGUGGAUUCUUGAACAGUUUGAAGUUCUAUAAAGAAGGGAAGCAAAGUGUGUGCUACAUUAUGGGUGAUACAGAAAGACCUUGACAUUCUUGUGGAGUUAUAUUUUGUUCUGUUCAGCUUCAGUGGGAGUUCCUCUUUUUCUCCGGUGACCCUGUCUGCCUACUCACCACCCAGGCCCAUCCUGUCCAGAGUCCAGACUGGGCCUUGUGUGAGGGGCUCAGGCUGUGUUCCUGAAGCAACACCAACAGCAUCACAGAUAUCAUUACCAAGCCUGCAGGUGGCUGGGACUGUAUCGUGGGGCCACUGCCUGACUCAUCUAGACCUUUUAAUCAUUGCGUUUUAUGUAAGCCCUGAACCAAGGAGAGGUUUGUUGCAGUUUCACUCAGCUCCCUUUCACAGGUGGUAGAGACUGGGUUGAAGAAGUGAUUUUGGUUCUGUUUCUCACUGUGUAGAAAAUUUAGGAGAGGACACUGGGAACACACCUGCCUCAUCCCUGAUUCCUAUUAGCUCCCUUUACCACCUCAGAUUUCUUUUCUGUCUUUGACACCGGGAGUUGUUUAUUCUGUGUUCAAGUGGAGUUAUAACACAUAGAUUAUCUCAAUUUUUGCAUCGCUUUCUGUCAUUAGUUGGACUUGAUGGCAAUGAUCAUGCUAAAAAUGUAAUCUUACCAUGUCAUACUUACUGGAAGUCCUUUAAUUCAUCAAUCAUCAUCAUCAUCAUUAUUAUUAUUGUUUUGCAAUACUGAGGAUUGAACACAGGGCUUUCACACUAAGCUACAGCUCAAGCC